Molecule: ribosomal RNA, 397 nt
Filed under: uncultured Neocallimastigomycetes
Lineage: Eukaryota; Fungi; Neocallimastigomycota; Neocallimastigomycetes
Description: eukaryotic LSU rRNA
Rfam family: Eukaryotic large subunit ribosomal RNA
Source: RNAcentral
GUUCUACCUUGACGAAUUGUAGUUUAAAGAAGUGUUUUCUGUUAGAUGAGUAGCAAAAGUUCCUUGGAAUGGGACAUCAUAGAGGGUGAGAAUCCCGUAUUUGGUUAUUCAUUCUAGCUUUGUGAUACACUUUCAAAGAGUCGGAUUGUUUGGGAAUGCAGUCCAAAAUGGGUGGUAAAUUUCAUCUAAAGCUAAAUAUUGGCGAGAGACCGAUAGCGAACAAGUACCGUGAGGGAAAGAUGAAAAGAACUUUGAAAAGAGAGUUAAACAGUACGUGAAAUUGUCAAAAGGGAAGCGUUUGACACCAGUGUUGUUUUUCCGAAAAUCAAUUACGAAUGGCUUGAUUUUGUGUUGUAUUGACCUUAUCAGCUUUCUGCACUUUUUUCGAGUCUUUCUU